UGAGGAAUUUUCUGCAAUGGGCGAAAGCCUGACAGAGCAAUACCGCGUGAGGGAUGACUGCCUACGGGUUGUAAACCUCUUUUCUCAAGGAGGAAGAUCUGACGUUACUUGAUGAAUAAGCCACGGCUAAUUCCGUGCCAGCAGCCGCGGUAAUACGGGAGUGGCAAGCGUUAUCCGGAAUUAUUGGGCGUAAAGCGUCCGCAGGCGGCCCUUCAAGUCUGCUGUUAAAAAGUGGAGCUUAACUCCAUCAUGGCAGUGGAAACUGUUGGGCUUGAGUGUGGUAGGGGCAGAGGGAAUUCCCGGUGUAGCGGUGAAAUGCGUAGAUAUCGGGAAGAACACCAGUGGCGAAGGCGCUCUGCUGGGCCAUCACUGACGCUCAUGGACGAAAGCCAGGGGAGCGAAAGGG
Molecule: ribosomal RNA, 406 nt
Filed under: uncultured bacterium
Lineage: Bacteria
Description: bacterial SSU rRNA
Rfam family: Bacterial small subunit ribosomal RNA
Source: RNAcentral